GUACUACUCCCUCCGUCCGGAAAUACUUGUCAUCAAAAUGAAUAAAAGAGAAUGUAUCUAGAUGUAUAUUAGUUCUAGAUACAUUCUUUUCUAUCCAUUUUGAUGACAACUAUUUUCGGACGGAGGGAGUACUUU
Molecule: non-coding RNA, 135 nt
Organism: Triticum aestivum (bread wheat)
Lineage: Eukaryota; Viridiplantae; Streptophyta; Magnoliopsida; Poales; Poaceae
Source: Rfam